Molecule: unclassified non-coding RNA, 272 nt
Filed under: plant metagenome
Description: partial contains small subunit ribosomal RNA, internal transcribed spacer 1, and 5.8S ribosomal RNA
Source: RNAcentral
UUUCCGUAGGUGAACCUGCGGAAGGAUCAUUAAUGAGUUGUCAUGGGGUUCGAUGCUGGCAGCCAAUUUUUGGAUGCAUGUGCUCGCCCUAACAAUCAUCUUCUUCCAAACACCUGUGCACAUUUUUGAGGGAGUCUUGAGUUGGUUGCCGCUCUUGGGUGAUUUUCUCACAUUCCCUUAAAUCAUUAUACGCUAUUAACAAUGUUGAACGUGCUCUGUGCCGCAAGGCCAUUAAUAUAAUACAACUUUUAACAACGGAUCUCUUGGCUCUC